UUGCACGCUGGCGGCAUGCUUUACACCUGCAAGUCGAACGGCAGCGCGGGCUUCGGCCUGGCGGCGAGUGGCGAACGGGUGAGUAAUGCAUCGGAACGUGCCCAGUAGUGGGGGAUAGCCCGGCGAAAGCCGGAUUAAUACCGCAUACGACCUGAGGGUGAAAGCGGGGGACCGAAAGGCCUCGCGCUAUUGGAGCGGCCGAUGUCGGAUUAGCUAGUUGGUGGGGUAAAGGCUUACCAAGGCGACGAUCCGUAGCUGGUCUGAGAGGACGACCAGCCACACUGGGACUGAGACAUGGCCCAGACUCCGACGGGAGGCAGCAGUGGGGAAUUUUGGACAAUGGGGGCAACCCUGAUCCAGCCAUGCCGCGUGCGGGAAGAAGGCCUUCGGGUUGUAAACCGCUUUUGUUCGGGAAGAAAUCCUCUGGGCUAAUACCCCGGGGGGAUGACGGUACCGGAAGAAUAAGCACCGGCUAACUACGUG
Molecule: ribosomal RNA, 483 nt
Filed under: uncultured bacterium
Lineage: Bacteria
Description: partial 16S ribosomal RNA
Rfam family: Bacterial small subunit ribosomal RNA
Source: RNAcentral